This is a long non-coding RNA of Oncorhynchus tshawytscha (Chinook salmon), 1292 nucleotides long. The record is from Ensembl. Lineage: Eukaryota; Metazoa; Chordata; Actinopteri; Salmoniformes; Salmonidae.
GGACAACAAUGGAAAUUACACUCUGGUUUACUGGGAACUCCUGGCUGUAAGGUUAGGCUUCAUCAUCGCUUUCGAGCUUGUAGUGUUUUUCUUCCUGUAAGCGAUAGACUGGAUGGUGCCAGAUGUCUCUGAGUCUCUGGAGCUGAAGAUGAAGAGAGAGCGCUACUUGGCUAAGCAGGCCCUGGCUGACAAUCAGGAUGCCCUGUUGGUGAGUCAGCGUGCCCCGGCCUCCAGCCCAGCACAAGACUGGUGCUUGCUGGCCCAUUGUUUCUCGUUGUGGUCCUUUAAAUGGUGUGGUGGUGGGUGUGCGUCCCCGUGUUCUGACCAUGCCAUUGUGGGAGUUCUGUUUCUUGUCGUGAAUGUCCUGGAUGGGCAAGCGACGCGUCCUUUGGCAACAUGAGUUAGGACUGCAGUGCAUAACUUCUUUUCCAGGAGAAGCGGAAUGGAUGGGGAGGUGAAGGGAGGAGAGGUAGAGUGAGAUAAAAGAGACUCUUUUGCAUUUCAGGUCCCAUCAAUUAAUUUGUUUCCCUGAUGGCUCUCUGUCUAUCCACUAUGGUCAGUUUUUAGGUUUGUUUACAGCAGGGGUGGCCAAACGUAUCUGCAAAGGACCGGUGUGGUUGCAGGUGUUUGUUCCAGCCAAGUGGUAACACACCUGAUUCAAAUGAUCAAUUUGUCAUAGUCUUUCAUUAAGACUUUGAUUAGUUGAAUUAGAUGUGUUACUACACAGACCUUUUGCAGGUAAUAUUGUGGUUUGCACCUGGUUUACAAUAUGUGAGAGUUGGUUUGUAUUGUUACAUUUUUGUUGCUUUUCUAUGAGCUAAUGACUUGAUUUCUGUCCUUCAACUAUGAUGAUUUGUGAUGUUCUCACUUUGUUAAAUGGAUGAGCUUGUAAUGUAUAUACACAUAGGUAUAUUUACAUAUGUGAAACUGGUCCCGCUUUUCUACACUAUCACUCUAUAUUUGUAAUGAGAUAGACCUGAAACAUAUUGGGAAUCUUGUUGCUUAUCUUGUUGGUACUGUACUAUACGAUUGAAGUCUUUCUACAAGUGUAACACGUUUUGCGCAAGCUGUUUUGCAUUUCAAAUUUUGGAAAAUAACUCUGGUUGGAUGAAUGAGAUACAGAACCAAUAAGGUGUCAAUCUGAAAUAAAUUCAAGUUCAAGAUGCCAGAGAACUUUGCUGUUAUCUUACCAAAAAAUCUGCUCCCCUUUCCUCCCCACGCCCUCAGAAACGUAAACUCCCCUCAGAAAAGAAGAACUCCAGACAGAUGAAAUCCCUCUGAUUUAUUAGGAG